RNAcentral lists this transfer RNA (74 nucleotides) under Thermoplasmata archaeon. RNAcentral describes it as "tRNA-Gly". It matches the Rfam family "tRNA". From Rfam's summary of the family: Transfer RNA (tRNA) molecules are approximately 80 nucleotides in length. Their secondary structure includes four short double-helical elements and three loops (D, anti-codon, and T loops). Lineage: Archaea; Methanobacteriati; Thermoplasmatota; Thermoplasmata. The record is from RNAcentral.
GCGGCUGUAGUCCAGCCUGGUUAGGACCGAAGCUUCCCAAGCUUCUAGCCCGGGUUCGAAUCCCGGCAGCCGCA